UUGAACGCUGGCGGCAGGCCUAACACAUGCAAGUCGAGCGGAUGAAGGGAGCUUGCUCCUGGAUUCAGCGGCGGACGGGUGAGUAAUGCCUAGGAAUCUGCCUGGUAGUGGGGGAUAACGUCCGGAAACGGGCGCUAAUACCGCAUACAUCCUGAGGGAGAAAGUGGGGGAUCUUCGGACCUCACGCUAUCAGAUGAGCCUAGGUCGGAUUAGCUAGUUGGUGGGGUAAAGGCCUACCAAGGCGACGAUCCGUAACUGGUCUGAGAGGAUGAUCAGUCACACUGGAACUGAGACACGGUCCAGACUCCUACGGGAGGCAGCAGUGGGGAAUAUUGGACAAUGGGCGAAAGCCUGAUCCAGCCAUGCCGCGUGUGUGAAGAAGGUCUUCGGAUUGUAAAGCACUUUAAGUUGGGAGGAGGGGCAGUAAGUUAAUACCUUGCUGUUUUGACGUUACCAACAGAAUAAGCACCGUCUAACUUCGUG
Molecule: ribosomal RNA, 483 nt
Filed under: uncultured bacterium
Lineage: Bacteria
Description: partial 16S ribosomal RNA
Rfam family: Bacterial small subunit ribosomal RNA
Source: RNAcentral